GGAGGAAAAGAAACUAACAAGGAUUCCCCUAGUAACGGCGAGUGAAGCGGGAAGAGCUCAAAUUUAAAAUCUGGCAGUCUACGAUUGUCCGAAUUGUAAUCUCGAGAAGUGUUUUCCGCGUUGGCCUGUGUACAAGUCCCUUGGAACAGGGCGUCAUAGAGGGUGAGAAUCCCGUCCUUGACACAGAUCCCCAAUGCUUUGUGAUACACUCUCAAUGAGUCGAGUUGUUUGGGAAUGCAGCUCAAAAUGGGUGGUAAAUUCCAUCUAAAGCUAAAUACUGGCGAGAGACCGAUAGCGAACAAGUACCGUGAGGGAAAGAUGAAAAGCACUUUGGAAAGAGAGUCAAACAGUACGUGAAAUUGUUGAAAGGGAAACGAUUGAAGUCAGUCGUGCCUGCCUAGAUUCAGCCUUCUGGUGUAUUUCUAGGUUUGGCAGGUCAGCAUCAGUUUGGGAGAGUUAACAAGGGAGUUAGGAAUGUAGCAACCUCGGUUGUGUUAUAGCCUAGCUUCGCAUUGACUUUGCUGGACUGAGGAACGCAGUGCGCCCUUACGGGUGGGUCUUCGGACACCUUCGCACUUAGGAUGCUGGCAUAAUGGCUUUAAACGACCCGUCUU
Molecule: ribosomal RNA, 614 nt
Filed under: Cystofilobasidium sp. EX-F 1547
Lineage: Eukaryota; Fungi; Basidiomycota; Tremellomycetes; Cystofilobasidiales; Cystofilobasidiaceae
Description: eukaryotic LSU rRNA
Rfam family: Eukaryotic large subunit ribosomal RNA
Source: RNAcentral